Molecule: ribosomal RNA, 497 nt
Filed under: uncultured bacterium
Lineage: Bacteria
Description: partial 16S ribosomal RNA
Rfam family: Bacterial small subunit ribosomal RNA
Source: RNAcentral
GAUGGACGCUGGCGGCGUGCCUAAUACAUGCAAGUCGAGCGAACAGACGAGGAGCUUGCUCCUCUGACGUUAGCGGCGGACGGGUGAGUAACACGUGGAUAACCUACCUAUAAGACUGGGAUAACUUCGGGAAACCGGAGCUAAUACCGGAUAAUAUAUUGAACCGCAUGGUUCAAUAGUGAAAGACGGUUUUGCUGUCACUUAUAGAUGGAUCCGCGCCGCAUUAGCUAGUUGGUAAGGUAACGGCUUACCAAGGCAACGAUGCGUAGCCGACCUGAGAGGGUGAUCGGCCACACGGGAACUGAGACACGGUCCAGACUCCUACGGGAGGCAGCAGUAGGGAAUCUUCCGCAAUGGGCGAAAGCCUGACGGAGCAACGCCGCGUGAGUGAUGAAGGUCUUCGGAUCGUAAAACUCUGUUAUUAGGGAAGAACAAAUGUGUAAGUAACUAUGCACGUCUUGACGGUACCUAAUCAGAAAGCCACGGCUAACUACGUG